AGUGAACGCUGGCGGUAGGCCUAACACACGCAAGUCGAACGGCAGCACAGUAAGAGCUUGCUCUUACGGGUGGCGAGUGGCGGACGGGUGAGGAAUACAUCGGAAUCUACUUUUUCGUGGGGGAUAACGUAGGGAAACUUACGCUAAUACCGCAUACGGCCUACGGGUGAAAGCAGGGGAUCUUCGGACCUUGCGCGAUUGAAUGAGCCGAUGUCGGAUUAGCUAGUUGGCGGGGUAAAGGCCCACCAAGGCGACGAUCCGUAGCUGGUCUGAGAGGAUGAUCAGCCACACUGGAACUGAGACACGGUCCAGACUCCUACGGGAGGCAGCAGUGGGGAAUAUUGGACAAUGGGCGCAAGCCUGAUCCAGCCAUACCGCGUGGGUGAAGAAGGCCUUCGGGUUGUAAAGCCCUUUUGUUGGGAAAGAAAAGCAGCAGGUUAAUACCCCGCUGUUCUGACGGUACCCAAAGAAUAAGCACCGGCUAACUUCGUG
This 492-nucleotide ribosomal RNA is filed under the name uncultured bacterium. RNAcentral's name for it is "partial 16S ribosomal RNA". It matches the Rfam family "Bacterial small subunit ribosomal RNA", at positions 29 to 507 of the family's 1533-position model. The record is from RNAcentral.